RNAcentral lists this ribosomal RNA (460 nucleotides) under uncultured bacterium. Its description in RNAcentral is "partial 16S ribosomal RNA". It matches the Rfam family "Bacterial small subunit ribosomal RNA", at positions 338 to 795 of the family's 1533-position model. The record is from RNAcentral.
CCUACGGGAGGCAGCAGUGAGGAAUAUUGGUCAAUGGACGAGAGUCUGAACCAGCCAAGUAGCGUGAAGGAUGACUGCCCUAUGGGUUGUAAACUUCUUUUAUAAAGGAAUAAAACGAGGCACGUGUGCCUUUUUGCAUGUACUUUAUGCAUAAGGAUCGGCUAACUCCGUGCCAGCAGCCGCGGUAAUACGGAGGAUCCGAGCGUUAUCCGGAUUUAUUGGGUUUAAAGGGAGCGUAGAUGGGUUGUUAAGUCAGUUGUGAAAGUUUGCGGCUCAACCGUAAAAUUGCAAUUGAUACUGGAAGUCUUGAGUACAGUUGAGGUAGGCGGAAUUCGUGGUGUAGCGGUGAAAUGCUUAGAUAUCACGAAGAACCCCGAUUGCGAAGGCAGCUUACUAAACUGUGACUGACAUUGAUGCUCGAAAGUGUGGGUAUCAAACAGGAUUAGAUACCCUAGUAGUC